GGCGCGGGCGGAAGAGUGAGCCGGGGCCGUUGCGGUGCGGACUCUGUGUGCUUCCGUGGCCUCCGAGUCGGGGGAAUCGGAACCGAACCGCGCUCCAGUGCGGGAGAGCCUUAGCGGCUCCUCCCGUCACCCAGCAGGAGGCUCGCGCUGGGACGUGGGAGGCGUGGGGGCCGCAGAUGCUUAAGAUGAGCCCCUCUCGGGAGCGGUUCCCUGCGGGCCCCGGGGCCCGCGGAAGGCCCGGCGGGGCCGGCUGGGGCGUGUGAGAGGGCGCCGUGCAGGGGCACGGCUGUGACCCGCGGGCCCACCCUUCAGGGUGGGAAGCUGAGGAGGCGGACGGCUCCAGCCUGAUGCCCCUCGAGGGUGUACAGAGCCCCGCGCGGCCGGGGGUAGCCCGGGGGGCUCGCUUUUGUCAGACGCUAGGCUGCCCCUGGAGCAUCCACCCUCCAGCCAACGUGAGAGGAAAACGAAAACAGUUGAACUCGGUGUGUCAGCGGGAAGCAGCCUCUGGUCAGUUCUUUGUGUGCUUCGUGUCCAGUUGCACUGGGCACAGAUCUCUUACCCCGGAAGAAAAUGAGCGGCAAAAAGCGCUCUGAAAUCACCCGAGUAAUAGCGUUUGUGACCCGAUGUCAUCAGAAAUCGGAAUCUAUAAUGCGGCUGUGGUCUUUUUUGUGUGCACCUGAGUGGCACCGGAUACCCAAGCUAAUGAGAGCAGGAGGAGGAGACACCUCAUUGAAUCACUCUUCGUAAACUCUUGGUGGCUGGACACCCUUCAGCGCCAUCCUAAGUCGAGUGAGUUCUGGGACACGUUUGUUUGAUCUGGGCCUCUUUUUACUCACGCCGUGCUUGUGCGUGCUCUAGCACACAUCAUGGCUCACCAGCGGUGUGCCUAGUUAGCCCUGCCCCUGCUGGCAGAGACAGAGGAAGAACACCCUGCUGGAUGUUAUAGCGUGUCUUUCUGCUGCUCAUGCUGCCUCCAGGGAAAUAGUUGGGAAAACAGAAGGAUAUUUGGGGUUGGUAGAAGUCAUUCUGGCUUUCUAAAGGGCAUCAUAACGUUUUAGCCUGAGUGGUUUGGCCACUUUUAUUAAUAAGAGCUUAAAGAAACUGUGGACCAAGGCGUGGCAUGACUUCAUGGGAUUUCCAGGGGUCCAGAGAGCAAUGGCUGACAUGCCACCACGAUUCCAUGCUGUGGGGCAGUUAUUUCAUAUAAUUCUGAUUCAGUUAGCUAAAUGGUUAAGAUCAAGAAUUAGCAUAUAUGUAGAUCAAGCAUAGUAGCGUAUGUGUAGAAAGAAGCUUCAAUCCCAAGCACUUUAGUAGCUGUGUGCCCUCAAGAAGGAUGCUUAAUCUCUGAGACAGUUUCUCCAUCUUUAAAAUGGAGAUAAAAUAUAGGUAACUGCCUCAAGGUUGUUGUGAGGAUUAAAUAACAAUGCAUUGAACAUUCAGGUGCUGGCUGUUAUCCUUCUCUGAUCUGCAAGUUUUGUGGGAAGCAUUAUGUAUCUCACAGACAGUGCCUUUGACUUAGUCUGGAGAAGCAGAAGAAUCCGGCUUCCACCACUGACCGCUUAGGUGCUCAGGAAAAUCACUCAACUUUGGAGUUGCAAUGUCAUCUUCAAAAUGUUGAUGAAAUGAAAGAAACUGAGCAAAAGUGUAAACUACAGAGCAAUGAGAAGAUGAGAUGGCUUUUGCUGAUUCUUCUUUGGCUUUCUCUGGUGUGGCUGAAAGUGGAAUCAAAAGAAAUUGUGAAGCUGGGCAGUCCAGUAAAAGCAGGCUGGCUUUAUGUGCCAUGAAGCUUGGUAUUUUGUGUCAUUUAUGUGAAAGCAGUCAAGUGCAUCAGAGGACCCUCAGCUGCCACUCAAACACAUUUUAUGUGCCUGCUUGGCCCGUUGGCCCACCUCCAUCGGUGAAAAGCACGUCUGCACUCCAGAGGGUUAACAAAAGCUUGUGUGCUGCAGAGUGGACAUAAGACUAUGUCUCUCUGUGGCAGAUACCCAUGCACAGAAGUACAGGAUUACUGCACUUCUUUUUGUAACCAACAUAUCUAUUGUGACAUUACAACUAGGUAGAACUUUCAUUAUGUCAAAGUGAAAUACCGAUAAAUUUUUAUAGGAAAGAGGUGUGUUGGAAGGACUACUUUCAGUCUCAAACUCAUAGUAACUUAUUUUUUUAAAUGUUCUGCAUACAAUGUAUUACUUUGAUAACAUCUAGACUACUAGAUUAAAUGUUCCAGAGCACAAAGUACUAAGAUAUGAGCAGUGCUUUGAUUCCAUUUACCAAGGAAAAAUACCUACUUUUGUCUUAUGCCAGUAAUCCUCACUGGUCCCCAAUUUUUAGGACAUAUUUAGAAGGAAAAAGAAGAAAAGUAGCAAAUGGUACCUGGUCCAUGAUAGUCUUGAAUCUUAAUUCACUAAUGUUAAGUGAGAACUCAGUUUAUACUCUUUAAAAAAGUUUCAGAGCCCAGAUAUGAUCCUCUUCAGUAGGAAGGCUGGAGGCUCAGAUAACUCGCUCAUGUCACAGCAGGAUAGACAAUUUUGUUUUUCCACAGAGGGACACUUCAAUAAGUCAACUAUUUAUUUAUAGUAAGAAAAGGACAUUAUAAGCAUAUUGAAAGCAUGUGCAGCUCUUAUUGAGUACUGUACUUCUUUCUCUCGGCCUCAGCAUUCUUGUGAGAAAUCAUUGACAGUCAUUGUGAUGAGUGGGGCUCUCUUUCUUUGCCCAGAUCUCUCAGGAAAAGGCUACAACUCCUGGGCGUAUAGAGGAACAUCAGUCACAGAUAUGAGUGGUAUUGUUCACAGAGCAUUUUACAGCACAAAAUAUUCAGUUCUCAGGAUAUCAAACAUCCUUUUUAUGAAAAUGAUUUGACACACCACAAUCCUAAAAGUUGAUAAAUUACUCUCAAAAUGUUUAAGAAUGUGUGAAUCCAAGAAAUGCAUGGGACAACACAAGCCCGUUUUCAUACAGGAAAGCCUCUAUUAAGCCUUAUUAAAGACGAAGACCCUUGUCUUUAGUCUAGGGUGAUAGCGUUGGUCACUUUAGUAUGUUUUUGUAUAUUUUGCAGGGUUGGGGUAGUGGCAGUAGUCUCCUCAGAUCUUACCUUUCCUUUGGUGGUUCCAUUUGAGUCACUAAAAUUUCCUGUUAUUUUGUACAGAAUGCAUCUCAGACAGUAAACAACAUACAAAGUAAACAAAAGUUUGUAUCAUUGUUUGAAAUUUAAAACAGAAAUGGUGGCUGCUGAGUCACGCUGUUUUGCAUCAUAUCAAAAGUGAUAGGCUACAUUUUACAAAAGACUAAAACAGCCCUUGUAAUGAGAAAAGCAAGAAGGGCAAUCACGACUUGUUUAAACGUGCAAGUUGAUAAUGAGUAAUGUCUCAGCCUUCACAACAUCGCAGAUAAAACCCUUGAGAAAGGAACAGAAAUCUGUUCACCGUCGAACAAGAUUCUGCUUUUGUAAGGGACAAUUCAGGCCAUGCUGCAUUUUUAGUAGAUUAGCAGAUGUUUUCGAUAAACCUGUAGCUCAGAAGGAUUCAUCACGUUCACUGGGUUUGACGAGUACAAAAUUAAGGAAGUUAAAUCAGUCCCAAGGAAAAGAAUGCUGUGUAGGCAGCCCAAUCAAAUGACCAAAGGCUAAAGCAAUCCCCCAGGAGACAAAAUGCUCACACUACCCGAAUGUGCUUUUGCUCUGAAAGGGUGUCUAUUGAAAGAACCACAGGUGUGAGAGUUUAUAUGAAGUUGUAGCAGUUUUCAAUCCCAUGCCUCGUAAGAUAGGGUGGUUUAGUUCUUGACGCACACAUUUUCAUCAGAUCCAUAGCAUCAACUACCUGGGAGGAAACAAGAGUAAAACACAAAGAUGUGCUGUGGGCUCAUUCCUGACAAAAGGCCUGUCUCCUGCCUUUGAGGGAAUGCCCAGGGGCUUCCCUGGUGGCACAGUGGUUAGGAACCCGUCUGCCAAUGCAGGGGACACGGAUUCCAGCCCUGCUCCCGGAAGAUCCCACGUGCCGUGGAGCAACGAAGCCCGUGCGCCACAACUACUGAGCCUGCGCACCUGGAGCCUGUGCUCCCAACAAAAGAAGCCACCACAAUGAGAAGCCUGAGCACUGCAGUGAAGAGCAGCCCCCGCUCGCCACAACUAGAGAAAGCCCUCGCAGCAGCGAAGACCCAACACAGCCAAAAAUAAAUAAACAAAUAAAUGUAUUAAAAAAAAGAAGAAGAAUGCCCAAUAACUUGGAUUCAGGAGACAAAUUCCAUGUAAGUUCAAACUCACAAUUCACCUUUUAUUGGCUGGGUGACAGGGCAAAUUAUUUACCUUUUCCAUGCCUUAAUUUUCUCAUCUGUUCGAUGCUGAUAAUAAAAACUACCUCCAUAGAGUUGCUUGGAUUAAAUUUGUUAAUACAUGUAAAAGCUAUAAAGCACUUCAAAUGGUAUCCGGCACAUAGACAGCCCUCAAGGCAAUUUUGUCCCCCAUGUUGGUUAAGCAUUAGUUGGGUCCUGGCAGAAGGGCAAUUAAGGUCUAGACUAUGCAAUAAACAUAAAACACUUGCGAGGUCUAAAAUUCAAACGCUGGUGAAGAGGUGGAACACAGAAGACCUUGGGAUAGAGAACUUGGUAUAGAGGAGGGGUGGGACCGUCUAAGCGACCAGAAAAGGCAGGAUGGAACAUGGCCUUGAAGGAACCAGCCUGACUGGAGUAGCAAAAUCAGGUUGAGCUGCGCUGUCCAGAGAAGAUGUGGCUAGUUGAACAGGGCUUGGAUUCCAUGACUGAGGAGAUCAGGUUCUGACAGGACUCUAUAACAGUUUCCUCAGAGGCUGUUCUACAAGUAGGAUUGGUUCCUAGAAAAUAGGGUAGAAUGUAAGGGAAGCGUCUAGAAGAAGAUAGCUCAGUUAAAAGGCACUGAGGCCCAUCUAAGGAUGAGUAGGUAAGGCUCUAGAGCAGGGUAAUAAGUAUGAGUAGAAGAAGGCAGAAACUGCUAAGGAAAAAACAGGUCUUUAAGGGAUUAUAUUGUAGGGAACAAAGAAGAGAGGAGGCAAAGAUGGCUCUAGAAUCUUGAGCAUGCCUCCACUGUCUAAUAUUGUAUCCAGAUGAGAUAAGGUAGUCACUGGUAGACGGUAGAACACAUUCUCACAGAGUGCAGGGAAGGUUAGGAGAUGGCCUUGCCCUUUGUAUCUGAAGGAUUCUAAAUCAUCAUUGGUGAAACUGAGAGUGAGAGAAGAAGAGUCAAGGGACUUCCCUGGUGGUGUAGUGGUUGAGUCGGCCUGUCAAUGCAGGGGACACGGGUUCGAUCCCUGGUCCAGGAAGAUCCCACAUGCCGCGGAGCAACGAAGCCCGUGCACCACAACUACUGAACCUGCGCUCUAGACACCGAGAGCCACAAUGACUGAGCCCACGUGCUACAACUACUGAAGCCCUUGCACCUAGAGCCCAUGCUCCACAAGGAAGGGUAGCCGCCCCACCACCCCACCACAACUAGAGAAAGCCCGCAAGCAGCAAAGAAGACCCAAUGCAGCCAGAAAAAAAAAAAAAAGAGUCAAGACUUCUGAGUAUUGCAAGGGAAUCUCCGGAGCCUUGGAGCUCCACUCAAUACAGCUGUUUGUAAUUAGAACCACCUGAAGGAUUACCUGCUCACGAGGGCUGAUACAAGGCAGGACGAGAGCUAGGGAUGAGCCUUGGGGAUGAGGAUAAAAAGCUGUAAGAAUCCUUUCCUUGGUGUGGACUUUGCUGCCACAAUCAUGUUAGUUAACACGUCCUUUACUUCACAUAAUUACCAUUUUGCUGUUAUAUUGUAUACUCUCUCAAGUACACAAUACAAUAUUGUUAACUACAGUCAUUAUACUGUAAGUUAGAUCCCCAAAACCUAUAACUGAAAAUUUGUACCCUUUGACUAACAUCUCAUUUGCCUCUGCCCUCAGCCCCGGCAACUACCAUUCUACUCUCUGAUUCUGUGAAUUUGAUGUUUUUAGAUUCUACAUAUAAGUGAGAUCAUGCAGGAUUUGUCUUUCUCUGUCUGCCUAAUUUCACUCAGCCUAAUGCCUUCAAGGUCCAUUCAUGUUGUUACAAAUAGCAGGAUUUCCUUCUUUCUCAAGGCUAAAUACUAUUCCAUUGUGUGUGUCAUAUCAAAAAAAAAAAUCACUGCCAAGACCAAUGUCAAGAAACUUUCCCCUUAUGUUCUUCUAGGAGUUUUAUGGUUUCAGGUCCUAUAAGUUAAUUCAAUUUUUAAGUACCAAGAAAUUAUUGUACUUAAAUGCUGUUCACUGCGGCAUUAUUUACAAUAGCUAAGACAUGGGAGGAACUUAAGUGUCUGUUGAUGAGUAAACAUAUAAAGAAAGUGUGAGAUAUAUAUACAUAUAUAUAUACACAUACACACAAUGGAAUAUUAUUGAGCCAUAAAAAAAGAAGGAAAUCUUGCCAUUUGCAACAACAUGGAUGGCCCUUGAUGGCAUUAGGCUAAAUGAAAUGUCAGACAAAAAAAAAAUAUAUAUGUAUGAUCUCACUUAUAUGUGAAAUCUAAACUAACUACCUAACUAAGCUACCUCUCAAAACCCACUGAACUCAUAGACAGAGAACAGUUUGGUGGUUGUCAGAGGCAAGGGACAGGGGUGGGUGAAAUGGGUGAAGGUGAUCCAAAGGUACAAACUUCCAGUUAUAAAAUAAAUAAGUCAUGGAGAUGGAAUGUACAGCAUAGCAACUAUAGCUGAUAAUACUCUAUUGUAUAUCUGAAAGUUGCUAAGGGAGUAGCUCUUAAAAGUUCUCACAAGAUAAAAAAUUUAUAACUAUGGGUGGUGAUGGAUGUUAACUAAGCCUAUUGUGCAACUUACACAAAUAUGGAAUCAUGCUGUACACCCGAAACCAAUACAAUGUUACAUACUAAUUACAUUGCAAUUAAAAAAAAAGUAGAGGGCUUCCUAGGUGACGCAGUGGUUGAGAAUCCGCCUGCCAAGGCAGGGGACACGGGCUCGAUCCCUGCUCCAGGAAGAUCCCACAUGCCGCGGAGCAACUAAGCCCGUGCACCACAACUAUUGAGCCUGCGCUUUAGAGCCCAUGAGCCACAACUCAUGAGCCCAUGUGCUGCAACUACUGAAGCCCACGCGCUUAGAGCCCGUGCUCCGCAACGAGAAGCCACGGCAAUGAGGAGCCCGCGCACCACAAUGAAGAGUAGCCCUCCCUCAUAGCAACUAAAAAAAAAGCCUGCGCACAGCAAAAAAGACCCAACACAGCCAAUAAAUAAAUAAAUAAAUUUAUUAUAAAAUAAAAGUGGAGUAAGUGUGCAAAUGGGAAAACGUCAGGCCUCAGCAGCAGUCACGCCGUAGGUACAUAAGUAUAUACAGACUGCCUACUCACCUUGGUUUCAGAAAGGCCACGAGAGGGUAGCAAGAGCCUGAACUAAUCAACAUAAAUUCUCUUCCCACUAACAAGUUUAAUUGUUCUGCGUUCCAGUUUCCUUAAAGAGGUGAAAAUUGAACAAGUUUACCAUUCUGAGAUUGCCGAUAAUUUGUGUUCUUGGUUGGGGGACACCCUGAAGGCAUUUGUUAUGGAUCCUGCAAAUGAACUGCUCCAGCUAGAUGCUGGCUGAAAAAUAAUUGACCCUCCUGUGCCCCUUCUCUGACUCCCACAGCACAGCGGGAAUCGCUGUGGAUCGUUUGUCCGGGAUGAGCGCUAAAUGCCGUCGCCCCUGAGCGUAGCUGCCGUCUCAGUGUGCGCAUCUCCCCCUCCCUCACUUCCAUUCUCCGCCCUGGUCUACGCACUCCUACUAACUGUGUCACCCAGCCUCCCCUGCCAACAGCAGCGUCGGCGGAAGGGGAUGGGUGUUGAAGGGGGCUGUGUUAUUCCCCCCCACUGCUCCUCUCCUGCUGCGGCAUGCUGUGGCAACGGCUGCAUUCCUUCACAUUUACAGCUCUGGGUGGUGGCCUCCUUGCCUGGCUCAGACUAGCACUGGACGACAGUAACACUGGUCCUGCCCUGUCCCUUCACACGUGGAGAUGGUAGUGGCUUCCUCUGUGGCUAGUUCCUGGUACUUCACCAUCUCUUGUUGAUUUUACUACCCCUGCCCACACCAAUGUAAGUGACCCCUUCAUUAAACACUUUUCCAAAACCUGGGUUUGGAAUCCACCCGUGUCUCUCACCAUCUCCAACUCCGAAUCUGUGAGUGACUUGCAGGAGGAGUUGGCACCUUUCACCGCAGAGCUGGAAGGAUUUGAAGAAGCUGAAGGACCUGGUAGCAGCUGGAAGAAGUGAGUGAAUCCAAGUGUAUCGAAGGCAGGAAAGGCAAAUCCCUGUCCAGUGAAGGUGUCCAUUCCAUUGAGAACAAAGUGCUGCUACUUCUGUGAUGGAAGUGAUCCAAGUAUUGGUUGCAGCAAAUCCUGUCUCAUCUUUACCUGAGUCUGGCCUGUAGGAGGCCCUUGGUUCUGGCCAGUGGCUGGAGGUGUUGGAUGAAUGGACAGGGAAUGCCCCCUGAAUGGAGAGUGGGCCCUGUGUUCCUUCAACAUCUUAGAAGCUUAUACUGAGUUUGGUAGGACUCACUGUUGAAGGAAUGCCUGGUCUGUGGGAGAUGGAGACAAGGGAGACUGGAAUUGCUAUGAUUUUCCUAGUAGAAUCUUCUGUCUGCCUUGAGAUGCCAAAAUGCAGGGCCCCAGAUCUGCAAGGAGUGGGAUUGGCCAGUGAGGAAGGUUGAGUGUGGGGCUGCUCUGCUGCGAGGUCACUGUCAGGGCCUGCUCCCAGGGAAGACGGGAAGGACUGUAGGAGAGCCACUGUCACACAUUUUCUGCAUCCUGGAGUCUUCCACCCAAUCUCCACUCUCCUUGGACCUGCUAAGGUAGUCUCCAUCUGCAUGGCUCAUUUUUCUUUAAAAAGUCCUUAAAAGGGACUGAACAGUAAUCUGAACAGAUGGCAUAGACAUGAGGGUUGUCUUUUUAAAAAAUUAAUUAAUUAAAUUUGGUUGCACCAGGUCUUUUUUAAAAUUUUUGUUAUCAAUUAAUUAGUUAAUUUUAAUUUUUGGCUGCAUUGGGUCUUCGUUGUUGUACGUGGGCCUUUUCUCUCUACUUGCAGCGAGCAGCGGCUACUCUUCCUUGCGGUACGCAGGCUUGCGGUGGCUUCUCUUGUUGCAGAGCACAGGCUCUAGGCACACAGGCUUCAGUAGUUGUGGCUCACAGGCUCUAGAGCGCAGGCUCAGUAGUUGUGGCGCACAGGCUUAGUUGCUCCACAGUAUAUGGGAUCAGGGAUUGAAUCUGUGUCCCCUGCACUGACAGGCAGAUUCUCAACAACUGCGCCACCAGGGAAAUCCGUGCCAGGUGUUAGUUGCGGCUGGUGGGCUCCUUAGUUGUGGCAUGUGAACUCUUAGUUGCUGCAUGCUUGUGUGAUCUAGUUCCCUGACCAGGGAUCGAACCCAGGCGCCUUGCAUUGGGAGCGUGGAGUCUUAACCGCUGCGCCACCAGGGAAGUCCCGUGAUGGCUGUCUAUUUAAUUUUUAAUUUUAAAAGUUUUUUUUUGUUUUUGUUUUGUUUUUUGUCUUUUGGUAUCUUCCAAACUGUCUGCAACAAACGUGUAUUACCUUUGUAACUUCUCCCGGAAGAUCUAAGUUCAGCCAGGGCUAGAGUUUAGGCCACAAUCAGCUUCUUGGCAUCAAACACCACCGGUUUAUUUACCUCAAGGAAGCAUAGGAAAAGGUGCCCCUCAUUUGUUGGCCCUACACCCUCUAAGCUCAGAUUCCUCCCCAGAACCCUUGGUUGGUGCAGUAUUUUUAGUUUAUUCCACUGUAGAAUAGAUGCUUCCGUAAUAAGGCCUAGUUCUUGUUAUUCUAUGUGCCUCAGCACCAAGGUGACUUUAAAAGCAAACCACGCUAAGCCUAAGCAAACAAUCCAGGAAAGAGUGAUGGUUUACUCCUUCAUUCCAUUCCCUCUGAUUACAUAUCUUGAUUACUAUCUCCCCUAUCACUUUUAGCACAAAGAACAAAAUACUUGAGAGGGGCUAUAGAAAAAUCCCAUAGAUUGAAGUUAUCACAGCAAUAAUUUUGAAGGAGAGAACUAACUAGCCUAAGGAUAUAAUUAUGUCUAUUUUUAAAGCUCACAGAAAAAUUCCUGCUGCAUAUGUGUUAUGGUAAAACAAAAUGCAGGCAUGGAAAAAUGACUGGCUUUAAAAAUAGCAAAAUACUUGAGAGCCCGGCUUGGCGCCAUUGGAGGUAGUACAGCUGGGGUCAGUUUAUAGACUUCUGUUUUUAAUUUGCAUAAAUAGUCUAGUGCUUGGCCAGAGCAGGCAUCCAGCUGUCUCAUCAGACUGAUUAAUAAAAAAUUAAAGAUAUCAAAAGGUGCUGGUGCUUGAGUGCUGGCAGUGUUAGGCAUCACGACAAAACUGAAAAGCGAGAAGCCUUUCACACUCCCACACCACAGAAAGCUCAGAACUUCUGACAAUGUUUUCUCAGCAUGAAGCUGAAAUUCUUCUGAGUUCUGCUAAGCUAAAAAACACUCGCACCCCCGCCACAAGAACAUCGUUCGUGUAGAGCAAGUCCCCGACAUAUGAACCUUCAAGUCGCAAACUUUCAGAGAUGCAAACGUGCAUUCCAUCCACGUCAGGCUGAGUGGGAUUGCAGCUGGCCCUCCGUCUCCUGUUGCUGGCCAUCCUGCAGCUCUACCGCCUCCCACCUCCUCUCCCUCCUCCAGUCAGUAACUCUUCUUGCCUGUUCACUCAAUGCCAGCCGCUAUAUGCCAGCUGUUGUACUGUGCUACUGUACUUUGCAAAGGUACUGUACUGUAAGAUUUAAAAUGUUUUUGAAAAUUUUUUGUUUGUUUUUAUGUAUUAUUUGUGUGAAAAGUAUUAUAAACCUAUUACAGUGCAGUACUAUAUAGCCAGUUGUGUUAGUUGGGUACCUAGGCUAACUUUGUUGGGCUUACAAACAAAUUGGACAUAUGGAUGCACUCUUGGAUUGGAACUCAUUUGUAUGUAGGGGACUUAUAGUAACGAUACUUCCACUGCACACUGCCCAGGCUGACAAGUUGAAGGUCCACACAGUGGAGCCCUGAAAUGGAAAAACCAAGUAGGCCUCCUAUCUUAAGUCACUUACAGUGGUAGCAGUGCUUGCUGUGUUUGUGCUUGGAUGUUUCUGUUCCAUCCAAAUUCAAAUGUUGAAAUCUUAACCCCCAAUGUGGUGGUGUUAGGAGGUGAGGCCUUUGGGAAGUGAUUAGGUCAUGAGGAUGGAGCCCUCAUGAAUGGGAUCAGUGCCCUUCUUAUAAAAGAGGUCCUGGAGAGCGCCCUCCCCCUUUCUGCCAUGUGAGGACAUUGUGAAAAGAUGGCCAUCUAUGAACUUAGAAAGAGAGCCCUCACCAGACACUGAAUUUCCCUGCACCUGGAUCUUCCAAGCCUAUAGAACUGUGAGAAAUAAAAGUGUUGUUUAAGCCAUCUGGUCCAUGGUACUUUGUUAUAGCAGUGCAAGUGGAUUAAGACAGUGCUUUCUAGGUGAAGGAAUCAUGGUUUUGUGGUGGAGUGCCAACUAUUUAUUCAAUAAACACAGAACACCCCUGAAGUCCAGGUUCUGAUAUUACUGUAGACAGGGUGAAGGCUUCCUGGAGAAUCUAUUGUCUUGUUUACAUAAAUGAGAUUAAGCAUUUAAAUUUUCAACCUCACAGAAUGAAAAAGAGGAUGCCCAAGAUCAAAAGCUAAGUGACUAAUAGAGAAUUUCAGGAAAAAAGCAGAACAGAUCAGAGUAGUUGGGAAUGGCAUCACAGAAUUGGGAUUGAAUUCAUCAAACCCUUAUUUAACAGAUAUAUUCUAUGCAUCAUACCUUCCAAGGACUCAAAGGUGAAUCAAUCCCAGAUCCUGGUCUCUUGCUCCUUAGUUUUGUUGAACACACAGGGAAUGUAGAAUAGAGGGUGAUGAGAGUCAUGACAACAGAUACAGAUAAAACUGUUCCUAGCACAAAACUUCAGAUUUAGAAAAAUCCUCAGAAAUAUCCUAACCCAAUCUCCUCCUUUACAAAUAAGAAAACUAAGAGCUUGUCGCUUGCCCAAUUUAUGCUGUUAAGUUUGGGACUGAGCUGGGAUCUGGACCCUGAUCUAGACCUUGAAGGACAGGUAUAUCCAGGCAGAGGGAAGAGUAAGGGCCCAGGCGGGGUUGAUGUUCAGCCAAACCAGCGCCCUGGCUUCUUGCUGUCGUCUGUUCCUGUUGGUGGGGGCUCCUGCGGACUCGUUAACGAUUCUGAAUGUCACCCCUGGGCAUGAGCACAGCUCGUUUCCUGUGCAGCUAAAUCAGUGUAGCAGAAGAAGGAGACAGUUUUUAAUAAUGAAGUACUAGGAGGCAAUUAAUCUCUUAGCACUGAUACAGCACUUGAGAUAGCACAGCUCUCUCUAAUGAUAUCACAAAUGGAGAAUCAAUGUACCAGAAAGUCCUCUAUGUUAUGAGCAGGGUAAAUGAAUAAGCUGAAUCCAACACCAUGAUACGAUCUGUAGCGCUCAGGAAUUAUGUUAGGUGAAGUAUUCACAAGUGUUAAAAUUAAAAAGACGGACAAAAGUCUUUUUACUUUUCUGGUCAUCAAGGCUUUACUCUUGGGAGGAGAGGAAAUUGGGAAGGGUGAGAGACACACAGUGGGCUUCUAGGGCGUGGCAAUAUUCUCUUUCUUCAAUAGUGGUAACUAUUCGUUAUACUAUACAUCUGUUUCUACACUUUUCCAUAUGCUACAUUUAAGAAUACAAAUUUAAGCUAAAGGAGAAUGAGGUUUGGUUUCUAUUCUGAAGGCUGGGAAAGUAAUGUGGAUAGAACAUCAAGUUCAAUGAGCAGUUGCUUGUAUACAGAACAAAGGAACCCGGGAACAAAGUCACUACAAUGGCACCAAAAUUAGAACAUGCAGAUUAGCUAUAAGCAUCCCUGUGGAGAGUAGUCCUUGCCAGCCUCUCCCUUCCACACGGAGUGGUUGUCGUCAAGAGCAACAAGUGGUUCUUGUUUAACAUGAAGGCAAAGGGGACACCUAGUAUUGUGUUCCUAACACUCCUGGGAGAUAUGGCCAACCAGACGUCUCAGGAAAACACACAGUAAGGACUUUGACAGCAAAUGGGCUGAGAAAAAGUUAAAAAACAAGAAUGAAUCAUUGAUAUUUUGAAUCACUGAUUUUCUUUUUUGGCUAUUGUAUCAUGUUCAUGUCCACAAUUCAGUGGCAUUAAGUACCUUCACAGUGUUGCGCAGUCAUUACCACUAUCCAGUGCCAGAAAAAUCAUCAAUUUUUAAACUGUAAAAUGUGGGCGCAAGAUCUUAAGUCUGAUAUCCUUUUUGGACAGAUUAAAGCAGCAGGGAACUUCUGGUCCUCUGCUGUAUCAGGAGGGAGACCACAGUGAUGCGGGGGCGGGGGGCGUUUUUCCUGAGACCCAAGGUUACAGCUGCUGUAGUCUAACUCCUCGCCUGCCGCACACACUGAUUUUCAUACUGAGUGGCCAGGUGGGGACACCGGAUGAUCACCACGGGCAGCCUUUCCCCAGUGCCACCGCUGGGCACAGUGCUGCUGGAUUUCACGGGCUGGUCCCAAAGGCGGGCUGCCCACAGCAGGGUGACAGGGAAGGAACUACUGUGCUUCCCAGUGCCUUGCAGCCUUCCCAGAGCUAUGAAUCUUUUGUUUGGGGUUUGAUUAUGCAAAACUACUCUCUUGCUGUAUCAUCUGCAAAAUUAGUAUCAUAUGGGAGCCAGCCAUUCAAACCUUCUCACUGUCCAAUUGCAGAAUCAAGGGUGGCCAAAAAGCCUGUGCAAGGUGACUCAGCAGAGGGAGCUGGGUCAUCUGUCCUGGUCUUGUGUUUCCCGCAUGCUGCCUCCGCAUGCAUUUAUUUAUUUAUUUAUUUAUUUUUAGCCACGACAUGCAGCUUGUGGGAUCUUAGCUCCCCAAGCAGGGGUCAAACCCAGGCCCUCGGCAGUGAAAGCACAGAGUCCUAACCACGGGACCGCCAGGGAAUUCCCACUGCCCGCAUUUUAAAGUGACUAAAGACCUAAAACAUUUUUCUUUUGCCUUAUUUUGAAUAACCAGACACUCCUAGGAGUAACAAAAUCAGAGCUAGGAAUCUCUAAUCUGGUGGGAUUCUUUUUUGGUCCUUUAACUCUAACACAUGUAGACCCUGAAAUUACAAUAAGGAAAAGGAUAGGACACAGUAACUCACAAUGUAAAGCAGCCUGACCCAGAUGUUGACAACAGACCAAUUUCCAAAAGUGUAGUCUGGCGGCUUGUUUCAAAGUGGGAAAUAUAUGGGAUCCUAGAAUAGCAUCCACAGCCCCCGGCUAAAAUGUCUCUGCAGAACCUGCAGCCAAGACCACUGCUGAUACAUGGACGUUGCUCAUACCUAUGCCCGUUCAUCCAUUCUCAGCCCCUUCCCUUCUCUUCCUACCCUUCCGUGACCCAUGUUCCCACGUUCCCAUAAUUUCUCACUCUCCGGGUUCCCAGGAGCAUUGAGCUCACCCCUGAAUUUUCAGGACUCCCCAUUAGAGUACCCUGGCUACGACCAUAUUUCUGAAAAAUCUUAUGACUCAUGUGACUGUUUUCCUGAAUUUCUCUCCAUUAUCAAAGCCCUGUACUAUCAAGACUUCCCUGGUGGCACAGUGGUUAAGAAUCCACCUGCGAAUGCAGGGGACACGGGUUUGAUCCCUGGUUCGGGAAAUCCCACAUGCCAUGGAGCAACUGAGCCCGUGCGCCACAACUACUGAGCCUGAGCUCUAGAGCCUGUGAGGCACAACUAUUGAGCCCGUGUGUUACAACUGCUGAAGUCUGCAUGCCUAGAACCCAUGCUCCACAACAAGAGAAGCCAUCGCACUGAGAAGCCCACGCACCAUGAUGAAGAGUAGCCCCCACUCGCCGCAACUAGAGAAAAAAGUCCAUGUGCAGCAACGAAGACCCAACACAGCCACUAAAAUGAAAUUAAAAAACAAAACAAAACAAAACAAAAACCCUGUACUAUCAGUCUCACUUCCAGAGGGUCCUAUAUUGACUUCCCAGGAUAAUAAUUUUAAAAACUAAUCAAGGUUCGUGAAAGCAGAACCACAUUAUAACUUUAGAAAACCCUAGGCACUGUUUUUUUACCUUUGUGGGCCCCUUCCUCCAUAAAAAAUAUUAAAAAUCAUACUGCAUAACUUCAUUUGGAGAAAGAUAGACAUAACUCAGAUUGUAUUAUUAUUUUUUUCCUCUAACUUUAAGAAAAAUGAAAGUGAAAACCUAUGCAUGGGUCCCUGCAAGGAUCAUAGGCCCUACACAUGCUGGCCUGUUAGUACUGCCUGAAGAUUGGCUGGGUUAUACUGGCUUAUCAGAUUGUGCUAGGUUAUCACUUAGAAUGCUUUUGUUUGUAAAUAAUGGGAUAAAAGUCAAGGGCUUAGACAGUUAAGGUAAUGAAGUUCGAAGAUGGAGGUGGCUUGGGGCUAGGUGCCUGCUCUUGUGAAACUUCCAUUCUUCAGAUAAAGACACAGAGAAAGACCACAUCACGGGCCCUGCUUUUUACUUGCCUGGUGGCCAUUGCCCUCCUCGUUAACCUUGCUGUCAGAACUCACCUCUAUGAUGGACAGAAGCUGAAAUGCCAGAUACUUGAUUUCUCAGCCUCCCUGGAAGCUACGGUUUGGCUAUAUAACUCGGUUCUGGCCAUUACAACUUUAGUUUGAAAGUAUGCUGGGGGCUUCUUGGACAGGUUUUCUCCCUCUUAGAUGUGCAUGAAGUUCCCACUCCUUCUAUCCUGCUUUGUGAUAUGAUGCAAUUCUACAGCUGUCUGGAAGCCAUGAGAGGCCACAAGGACACUUUCAAGAUGGCAGAGCAAAAAAGAUCCAAUUCUGGGUUCUCGAUGAUUUUGUGGAACUAUAUAAUCCACCAUGAAACUACCUACCUCUGGACACUUUCAUUAAGUGAGAGAAUAAACUCUAAUUUAUGUAACUUUCAGCUGGGUAUUCUACAACUUGCCACUUGCUAUAGAUAACAAGAAAACAAAUGCACCAGAAAUGUUCAGAUAUUGAUAAAUGCUGUUGGGAAAAUAAAUAUAUUGAAGGGCUACUUCAAAGUAUAUAAUUAUAGAAGGA
This is a long non-coding RNA of Hippopotamus amphibius kiboko, 15995 nucleotides long. RefSeq lists it as uncharacterized. Lineage: Eukaryota; Metazoa; Chordata; Mammalia; Artiodactyla; Hippopotamidae. The transcript is spliced from 3 exons. The record is from RefSeq and is a predicted model, not a curated record.